GCCAAGCAGGCAUGGUCUUUCUCUUGGAUCUUUCUGUCUGAGUGGAGUUUUGGCAGAAGUGCCUUCAAUUUGUUUGCUUUUGAGAUUUGUUGUCUUGCCUGAGUAAGCGUUAAACAGAAGGAAACCUCUCUCUCAAGGUAAGGGCGAAGUGCUGAAGCUAGAAAACCGUAAUUAAAUAAUCGGGUGUCUGGCAGGCCCAGGGAGGCUGCGAAGCUGCUGUUUGUUUCCCUUUUCCUGCGCGGGUCAUUCCUAAGAAGACAGAGAUGGGAGUGGCAAGCGAUGGGGAGAGCCUGGCGUGAAGCGAGUGUGCAGCUCAUUCUUGAUAGAAAAAGAAAGGAUGACUGCUUGCUGCUCAUGAGGCCAGCAUUCAUAUUUGGAGCCAAGCAGAUGCACCUGCAAGCUUGGCAGCAUUGCACUCGCUUUACAAUUGGAUUGGACCAUGGGGGCGGUUUCCCUUGUGCUGUUCUCGUGAUAGUGAACUCUUCCAAGAUCUGGCUGUUUAAAAGCGUGUGGCAGGUUUGCCCCAUAGCCACCAUAGUAAGACGUGCCUGCUUCUCCUUUGCCAUGGUUGUGAGUAUCCUGAGCUCUCUCGGUCGUGCUUCCUGCUAGCCCUGCAGAACUAGUGACCAACUGCAGCAUGUGAAGAAGAAAAAAAAAAAAAAAAAAGGAUACUGAGACUUGGAUGGAUGCAUCAAGAAGUAGCAACGUUUGUUACCUGCAGAGGUGUUACAAGAAAUUUCAUCUGCUGCAACGAAGACGAACUGAUUUCUGGAAGAGAAGAUAAAAUUCACAAUACUGCUCGCUCAGGGGGAAAUGUGCUCUCUGCCAAUUGCUUCGAUGUGUACAGAUGAGGGGAGGGAAGGGUGCUGCGUGUGAAUGGAUGUUGCGAGGAAAUGUGCUGAUGUACCUCAGAGUUUAGAAAGAUCAUGAAAUAAGCAUGCGGGGACCUCUUAAAGUCAUGGUAAUGUCAGAAUACGAACUAUGUACAAGCUGUUGCACCAAAUAUUAAUACUAUGUGUUACCAAAACAUGCCAGGAUAUGUUUCUAAGGCUAAAGCAUUUCAAAUUGUGCUCAUAUGACUUUCUAUGCUAAAGAGAUUACUUUUUAAAAUGGGACUAAUGAUUAAGAAAUAGGGUAUACUACAGCUAGCUAGAAAAAUUAUAAAAUUCUAGACUUAUAAUAUCAAAAAAAAAUAAGAAAAAGUGCUGUCAUUUCAGAAGACAAUUUUAUAUGGUGAUGUGUUAUGGAUAAUAAUUUCCUCAUCAAACCCAGCUUGCUACAUAGAGCUAAGAGAACUUGUCAAUUGAAAUAAACCCUAAUUAUUUUUAAUGAUGCAGUAUUAAAAAUAAUGAAAAUAGAAAAUGCUAUUUUACUUUUAGUAAACCCAGAAAGAUGAUAAAACUCUCUUAAGACGUUUCCAACUGUGACACUUCCACGAUAUUAUGUGUUCUAAUUCAGAGGUACUAAUUCGUCUACAAAUAAGAUCGUCUGAGUCAAAUUAUAAAAAUGGCACAAUGAGGUUGGCUAGGUUCGUAAAUGCCUCAAAAGUAGCAGUACAGGGGCUCUGGGUUUUCAUCGGUUAGAUUUUUAUUAUGCUUAUGGAUCACCAAGAACCAAGAUAAAUGCAUUUUUCUUCUUAGUAUGAUUGGUUUUGUUCAAAUGUUUCAGUGCUUCAAAAGGUAUCUAGUGAUGGAGCAUUUCUUAAAACAUCUUAAGAAAGUUUUACUGUUGCAAGAGGUACACCCUGGAAUAUAAAUAGAGCUGCCAUUUGAAUAUUCCCUAGAAUUUCACAUUCAGUUAAAUUCUAGUCAUUUCUACACCAAUAAAAUAUAAACAAGUUAUACAUGCUUUGAGAAUAAUAUUUUUAGUACUUUUCUCCUACAUAACAAGUCACAACUAAGUUUAUCACUUUCCUUAAGACAAUAAAAGUUAACAUAAGAUUUUGGGCUUUUUGACACAGACUUUUUGAGCCGCAUGAAUAUCUGGCCCCAGAUUCCCUAUGUUAGAGGAGCAAUAAAAUUUAUCCCUGAAAACAAAGGAGAUAUUUUGGUUGAAUAUUUGACUUACUCACCUUUGACUUAUAGAAGGGGCAAUAACACGGGAAUUCCUAACUACAGGUAUGAUAUUCUGGGCUGCACAAAACAGGCACUUAGAAUAACCUCUAUUUACAGAAUGCUCCUAAGAAUGCUACCGUAAGCAAGAAUGGCGACAUGAUUUAUCCAAAGCGGCAAGGUCUUUGCACUAGGCAUUCACAUAUCUAUGGCAGGAGGGUGGGGCAGCUCUACCCAAUUUCUACUGCCUAAUCCUAGAACAGAUUGCUAGCUUGUGUUCCCUUUCUGCAAUUUUCCCUAAGGAACUGUCCAAUGUGCUAGACAUCAGGAAAGCCACUUGGAGACAAAAACAGAUGUAAAAUUGUGACUGAACGAAUAGGUAACUUUUAAAAUGCAAC
Molecule: long non-coding RNA, 2449 nt
Filed under: Homo sapiens (human)
Lineage: Eukaryota; Metazoa; Chordata; Mammalia; Primates; Hominidae
Description: HSALNT0227277
Source: RNAcentral